RNAcentral lists this ribosomal RNA (258 nucleotides) under uncultured bacterium. RNAcentral describes it as "partial 16S ribosomal RNA". It matches the Rfam family "Bacterial small subunit ribosomal RNA", at positions 96 to 354 of the family's 1533-position model. The record is from RNAcentral.
UGGCGGACGGGUGAGUAACGCGUGGGUAACCUGCCUCAUACAGGGGGAUAACAGUUAGAAAUGACUGCUAAUACCGCAUAAGCGCACGAGAUCGCAUGAUAAAGUGUGAAAAACUCCGGUGGUAUGAGAUGGACCCGCGUCUGAUUAGCUGGUUGGCGGGGUAACGGCCCACCAAGGCGACGAUCAGUAGCCGACCUGAGAGGGUGACCGGCCACAUUGGGACUGAGACACGGCCCAAACUCCUACGGAAGGCAGCAG